Molecule: ribosomal RNA, 497 nt
Filed under: uncultured bacterium
Lineage: Bacteria
Description: partial 16S ribosomal RNA
Rfam family: Bacterial small subunit ribosomal RNA
Source: RNAcentral
GAUGAACGCUGGCGGCGUGCCUAAUACAUGCCAGUCGAGCGAACAGACGAGGAGCUUGCUCCUUUGACGUUAGCGGCGGACGGGUGAGUAACACGUGGAUAACCUACCUAUAAGACUGGGAUAACUUCGGGAAACCGGAGCUAAUACCGGAUAACAUGUUGAACCGCAUGGUUCAACAGUGAAAGACGGUCUUGCUGUCACUUAUAGAUGGAUCCGCGCCGCAUUAGCUAGUUGGUAAGGUAACGGCUUACCAAGGCAACGAUGCGUAGCCGACCUGAGAGGGUGAUCGGCCACACUGGAACUGAGACACGGUCCAGACUCCUACGGGAGGCAGCAGUAGGGAAUCUUCCGCAAUGGGCGAAAGCCUGACGGAGCAACGCCGCGUGAGUGAAGAAGGUCUCCGGAUCGUAAAACUCUGUUAUUAGGGAAGAACAAAUGUGUAAGUAACUAUGCACGUCUUGACGGUACCUAAUCAGAAAGCCACGGCUAACUACGUG